GCUUGCAGAGUGCGGAUGAGUGGCGAACGGGUGAGUAACACGUUGGAAAUCUGCCUAGGAGUGGGGGGUAACAUUCGGAAACGGAUGCUAAUACCGCAUAUCUUUUUGAACCGCAUGGUUCUUAAACGAAAGACGGCUUCGGCUGUCGCUCUUAGAUGAUCCCGCGGCGUAUUAGUUAGUUGGUGGGGUAAAGGCCUACCAAGACCAUGAUACGUAGCCGACCUGAGAGGGUGAUCGGCCACACUGGGACUGAGACACGGCCCAGACUCCUACGGGAGGCAGCAGUAGGGAAUCUUCCACAAUGGGUGAAAACCUGAUGGAGCAAUGCCGCGUGAAUGAAGAAGGUCUUCGGAUCGUAAAGUUCUGUUAUUAGAGAAGAACAAGUCAAGGAGUAACUGUCUUGACUUUGACGGUACCUAACCAGAAAGUCACGGCUAACUACGUGCCAGCAGCCGCGGUAAUACGUAGGUGACAAGCGUUGUCCGGAAUUAUUGGGCGUAAAGGGAGCGCAGGCGGUUGGAAUAGUCUGAUGUGAAAGCCCACGGCUUAACCGUGGAAGGUCAUUGGAAACUGUCCAACUUGAAUGCAGAAGAGGUAAGUGGAAUUCCAUGUGUAGCGGUGAAAUGCGUAGAUAUAUGGAGGAACACCAGUGGCGAAGGCGACUUACUGGUCUGUGAUUGACGCUGAGGCUCGAAAGCGUGGGUAGCGAACAGGAUUAGAUACCCUGGUAGUCCACGCCGUAAACGAUGAGUGCUAAGUGUUGGAGGGUUUCCGCCCUUCAGUGCUGGAGU
Molecule: ribosomal RNA, 791 nt
Filed under: uncultured bacterium
Lineage: Bacteria
Description: bacterial SSU rRNA
Rfam family: Bacterial small subunit ribosomal RNA
Source: RNAcentral